This 464-nucleotide ribosomal RNA is filed under the name uncultured bacterium. Its description in RNAcentral is "bacterial SSU rRNA". It matches the Rfam family "Bacterial small subunit ribosomal RNA", at positions 330 to 792 of the family's 1533-position model. The record is from RNAcentral.
UCCAGACUCCUACGGGAGGCAGCAGUGAGGAAUAUUGGUCAAUGGGAGAGAUCCUGAACCAGCCAAGCCGCGUGAGGGAAGACGGCCCUAUGGGUUGUAAACCUCUUUUGUCGGAGAACAAAACCCGGGACGUGUCCCGGACUGCGUGUAUCCGAAGAAAAAGCAUCGGCUAACUCCGUGCCAGCAGCCGCGGUAAUACGGAGGAUGCGAGCGUUAUCCGGAAUUAUUGGGCGUAAAGGGUGCGUAGAUGGCAUAGUAAGUCUUUUGUAAAAAUGCUGGGCUCAACCCAGUAGGGCAAAAGAUACUGCAAAGCUAGAGUAUGACAGAGGCAAGUGGAACUACAUGUGUAGCGGUAAAAUGCGUAAAUAUAUGUAAGAACACCAGUGGCGAAGGCGGCUUGCUGGGUCGAUACUGACAUUGAGGCACGAAAGCGUGGGGAGCAAACAGGAUUAGAUACCCGAGUA